This 253-nucleotide ribosomal RNA is filed under the name uncultured bacterium. RNAcentral's name for it is "partial 16S ribosomal RNA". It matches the Rfam family "Bacterial small subunit ribosomal RNA", at positions 524 to 776 of the family's 1533-position model. The record is from RNAcentral.
GACAGAGGGUGCAAACGUUGUUCGGAAUUACUGGGCGUAAAGCGUGUGUAGGCGGCCGCGUAAGUCGGAUGUGAAAGCCCUGGGCUCAACCCAGGAAGUGCACUCGAUACUGCGUGGCUUGAGUACUGGAGAGGUUGGUGGAAUUCUCGGUGUAGAGGUGAAAUUCGUAGAUAUCGAGAGGAACACCGGUGGCGAAGGCGGCCAACUGGACAGAUACUGACGCUGAGACACGAAAGCGUGGGAAGCAAACAGG